GGAGGGUGCGAGCGUUAAUCGGAAUUACUGGGCGUAAAGCGCGCGUAGGCGGCCUGAUCAGUCGGAUGUGAAAGCCCUGGGCUUAACCUGGGAAUUGCACUCGAUACUGUCAGGCUAGAGUAUGGGAGAGGGAAGUGGAAUUUCCGGUGUAGCGGUGAAAUGCGUAGAUAUCGGAAGGAACACCAGUGGCGAAGGCGACUUCCUGGCCCAAUACUGACGCUGAGGUGCGAAAGCGUGGGUAGCGAACAGGAUUAGAUACCCUGGUAGUCCACGCCGUAAACGAUGAGAACUAGAUGUCGGGAGGAUUUACCUCUCGGUGUCGCAGCUAACGCGUUAAGUUCUCCGCCUGGGGAGUACGCCGGCAACGGUA
This 370-nucleotide ribosomal RNA is filed under the name uncultured organism. RNAcentral describes it as "partial 16S ribosomal RNA". It matches the Rfam family "Bacterial small subunit ribosomal RNA", at positions 527 to 896 of the family's 1533-position model. The record is from RNAcentral.